CAUAAAUAAAUAGCCUACAGAUAUGAGACAAUUCCGGAAUGGAAUUUCCCUUACAUGGAAAGUGAAUAAACUCUUACAUGGGAAGUGAAUAAACUACUCUUACAUGGAAAGUGAAUAAACUACUCUUACAUGGAAAGUGAAUAAACUACCUUGCUAGAAUUACUCCUAAAUCAAUUAUAAUAAAGGCUGUACAUUACACUAAUUAGGGAAGUAAACAGAGGAUGCUGGCUUGAUUUCCAACACUCCCCCUCAAGCCGCGUUGUAGAUGUUGAUCAUUCCAAGUUUUUCUGUCAGAUCUUCGAAGUUAACUCGAGCAAGAGCUUUUGUGAGAAUGUCAGCCGUUUGACAGUUUGUCGGAGUGUAGCUGACUUUGAAAACUCCUUCAAUCUUUUCCUUGAUAAAGUGUCGAUCUAUCUCCACGUGCUUAGUUCGAUCAUGAUGAACCGGAUUCUUAGCGAUACUGAUGGCAGCUUGAUUGUCGCAGUAUAACACCAUGGGAUGCUUCAAUGGAACCCGUAAUUCUUCUAAUAGCCUGUUCAACCAGAUUCCCUCGCAGAUACCUUGUGCCAUAGCACGAAAUUCUGCCUCAGCACUGCUACGGGCUACCACUGACUGUUUCUUGCUUCGCCAUGUAACCAAGUUCCCCCAGACAAAUGAACAAUAGCCUGAAGUUGAUCUCCGAUCAGUCACUGAACCUGCCCAAUCUGCAUCUGAAAAAAUCUCAAUCUCUUUCUUUGUUGUUCUUUAAAAGAAGAGACCCUUUCCCGGUGUCAUCUUGAGGUAUCUCAAUAUUCUGAUCACAGCAGUCAUGUGUUUUUCGGUUGGAUUAUUCAUGAAUUGACUUACCACACUAACGGAGAAGCCGAUGUCUGGCCUUGUAUGAGAAAGAUAGAUGAGUUUCCCCACAAGACGUUGAUAUCUUCCUUUAUCAACUGGCGCACUUCCAUCAUUUUCUUCCAGUUUGACAGUUGUAUCCAUAGGUGUUUCUGCCGGCUUGCAUCCUAGCAUUCCUGUUUCAUUCAAUAAGUCCAGAACGUAUUUGCGUUGUGAGACUGCUAUACCUUUCUUUGACCUAGCAAUCUCCAUUCCAAGAAAGUACUUGAGGUUUCCAAGAUCCUUGAUCUCAAAUUCCUUUGUCAGUAAUUUUUUAAGUAAGUCAAUUUUCUCUUCAUGAUCACCUGUCAAAAUUAUGUCGUCCACAUAUACAAUGAUAAUUGCCAGUUUCCCUUCUGGGAAGUGUUUCACAAAUAAUGUGUGAUCGGAUUGACAUUGAACGAAUCCGUACCCUUUCACUACCUUAGUGAACCGUUCAAACCAGGCCCUGGGAGAUUGUUUGAGACCAUACAAGGAUUUUCGGAGUCUCCAAACCUUGUUGAAAUUUGAUGUCGUCUCAAGUCCAGCAGGAAUGUCCAUGUAAACUUCUUCCUCUAAGUCACCAUUGAGGAAGGCAUUCUUCACAUCAAGUUGGUGAAGCGACCAAUCGAGAUUAGCUGCCAAGGAUAAAAUUACACGAACAGUAUUGAGCUUGGCAACUGGAGCAAAAGUUUCUUGAUAGUCAAUGCCAUAGGAUUGGGUGAAUCCUUUGGCGACCAACCGAGCCUUAUACCUGUCCACAUUACCAUCUGCCUUGUACUUUACUGUGAAAAUCCACUUACACCCAACUGGUUUCUUACCUCUUGGGAGGUCAGUAAUUUCCCACGUAUCAUUCUUUUCCAGCGCCCGAACUUCCUCAUUGACUGCCGCCUUCCACUUAGGAUACUUGAAAGCUUCCUGAAUAUUCUGAGGAACUUGUAUAUUUGUGAUGCUAGAAGUGAAUGCACGAAACGUAGGUGAUAGCUUAUCAUAAGAAAUAAAAUUUCCAAUGGGAUGCUGAGUGCAUGAUCUAACUCCUUUCCUCCAAGCUAUGGGCAUAUUAAGAAUAUCAUUUUCUAACUCGGAAUCAACAGUACCAUCAGGAGCGUUGUUACCUGGAAGUUUGCUUGGAUUAGGACCCGGUUCUGCCUCAUGGGUUUGUUGAGAAAGUACUCUUUCCUCCGUUUCCUCUUGGAUGUGCUCCUUAUCCCACAAGUCAACAAUGGACUCGGGUUGAUUAAAUGACUCUGGAGGAAUGUGAUUUUCUGUGGUGAUGGGUGACUCACUGAAUGACUCAAGAUCCCAAAAUUGAUAUUCCUGAGUUGAAUUCUCCCCCUGAAUAUCGUUUUUGGGAUAGUAAGGCUGGGUUUCAAAAAAGGUGACAUCCAUUGAAUUGUAGAAUUUUCUUGUGACCGGAGAGUAACACUUAUACCCUUUUUGAUUUGAAGAAUACCCAAGAAAGAUGCACUUGAGUGACCUAGGAUCAAGUUUACUUCUAUGUUGUUGAUUGAUAUGAACAAAGACAGAGCACCCGAAAAUUUUGGGUGGGACGGUGGAGAUGAGACGAGUAGUCGGAAAGGAUUUUAGGAGUGUUUGACAAGGUGUUUGGAAUUUUAGUACCCUAGACGGCAUCCUAUUGAUGAGGUAGGCUGCCGUAAGGACAGCUUGCCCCCAGAAUAAUUUUGGAACAUUCAUGGAGAACAUUAGUGAUCUAGCCACCUCUAACAAAUGCCUAUUUUUCCUUUCAGCGAUUCCGUUUUGUUGUGGGGUAUCAACACAUGAACUUAAGUGAACUAUCCCUUCUUGUGCUAGAAAUUCUCCUAGAAUGGAGUUGAAAUAAUCCCUAGCAUUAUCAGACUUUAGAAUUUGUAUUUUUGAUUGGAAUUGGGUCUGAAUCAUAUUUUUAAAAUUUUUGAAAAUUUGACUCGUUUCAGAUUUUUCUUUCAUGAGGAAUACCCAAGUUAAUCUAGUGUGAUCAUCUAUGAAUGAGACAAACCACCUAGUACCAGUUACAUUUUUUAUUCUUGACGGACCCCAGAUAUCGCUAUGAAUCAUUGAGAAUGGACUAGACUCUUUAUAGGGUUGAAUGGGAAAAUGAGACCGGACUUGCUUUGAUAAUUGACAGAUUUCACACUCAAAGGAUUUUGGAUUUUUAUUAAAUAAUGAAGGAAAUAAAUGCUUGAGAUACAUAACAUUUGGAUGACCUAAGCGAUAGUGCCACAACCUAAUUGCACUAUCGUUAUUUUGACAUGAAACCGAAAAAGAAUUACUACCAACUGUCAUUUGAGGUUGUUCUUGUGGAUCGUGGCGCUCCUUAAGGAUGUAGAGUCCAGAGCAUUCCUCAGCAUUGCCAAUCGUCUUCCCCGAAUCCAAAUCCUGAAAUUCACAGUGAGUGGAGGAAAAAUUAGUAAUACACCUCUUUUCCUUAGUGAGUUUACUAAUUGACAAUAGAUUACAGUCCAAGUUAGGAACAAGGAGAACAGAGUUGAGAGUAAGAUCCCUUGAUAGCACAACUGAACCUGUUCCGGCAACCUUUGAUAGUGAACCAUCUGCUAUUCGGACUGUUAAAUUAUUUGGACAUGAGCUAUAUGUAUCAAAAAUUGUCGCAUCUCCCGUCAUAUGAUCAGAUGCUCCUGAGUCCACUAUCCAAGGUUUUUUACGUUUCUUACCAGCAGUGAAGGCACUCAAAAAAUUACCUUUGUGAGCCAAGGUUCCGGAACCAAUUACCUGGUUGGAAGAUGAGCCAGUUUGUGACUGUAUUGACAAAAGAGGAGACAUGAGACAGGAUUAAACCUGCUCUGAUACCAUGAAGAAUUUGAAGAAAAAUAUGAAGAAUUUGAAGACAAAUUAUGGAGGAACACCUCAAUUCAUUCUGUGAUUUUUUUUUUUAAAGCAUAAAUAAAUAGCCUACAGAUAUGAGACAAUUCCGGAAUGGAAUUUCCCUUACAUGGAAAGUGAAUAAACUCUUACAUGGGAAGUGAAUAAACUACUCUUACAUGGAAAGUGAAUAAACUACUCUUACAUGGAAAGUGAAUAAACUACCUUGCUAGAAUUACUCCUAAAUCAAUUAUAAUAAAGGCUGUACAUUACACUAAUUAGGGAAGUAAACAGAGGAUGCUGGCUUGAUUUCCAACA
This 3987-nucleotide long non-coding RNA is filed under the name Vitis vinifera (wine grape). RNAcentral describes it as "long non-coding RNA (VVIN_LNC001388)". The record is from RNAcentral. Lineage: Eukaryota; Viridiplantae; Streptophyta; Magnoliopsida; Vitales; Vitaceae.